RNAcentral lists this ribosomal RNA (478 nucleotides) under uncultured bacterium. RNAcentral's name for it is "partial 16S ribosomal RNA". It matches the Rfam family "Bacterial small subunit ribosomal RNA", at positions 28 to 523 of the family's 1533-position model. The record is from RNAcentral.
GACGAACGCUGGCGGCGUGCUUAACACAUGCAAGUCGAACGGUAAGGCCCUUCGGGGUACACGAGUGGCGAACGGGUGAGUAACACGUGGGUGAUCUGCCCUGCACUUCGGGAUAAGCCUGGGAAACUGGGUCUAAUACCGGAUAGGACCACUGCCUGCAUGGGUGGUGGUGGAAAGCUUUUGCGGUGUGGGAUGGGCCCGCGGUCUAUCAGCUUGUUGGUGGGGUGAUGGCCUACCAAGGCGACGACGGGUAGCCGGCCUGAGAGGGUGACCGGCCACACUGGGACUGAGAUACGGCCCAGACUCUUACGGGAGGCAGCAGUGGGGAAUAUUGCACAAUGGGCGCAAGCCUGAUGCAGCGACGCCGCGUGAGGGAUGACGGCCUUCGGGUUGUAAACCUCUUUCAGCACCGACGAAGCGCAAGUGACGGUAGGUGCAGAAGAAGGACCGGCCAACUACGUGCCAGCAGCCGCAGUAA